This 665-nucleotide ribosomal RNA is filed under the name Mycobacterium sp. N36(2010). RNAcentral describes it as "bacterial SSU rRNA". It matches the Rfam family "Bacterial small subunit ribosomal RNA", at positions 67 to 749 of the family's 1533-position model. Lineage: Bacteria; Bacillati; Actinomycetota; Actinomycetes; Mycobacteriales; Mycobacteriaceae. The record is from RNAcentral.
CGGAAAGGCCCUUCGGGGUGCUCGAGUGGCGAACGGGUGAGUAACACGUGGGUGAUCUGCCCUGCACUUUGGGAUAAGCCUGGGAAACUGGGUCUAAUACCGAAUAGGACCACGGCAUUCAUGUGUUGUGGUGGAAAGCUUUUGCGGUGUGGGAUGGGCCCGCGGCCUAUCAGCUUGUUGGUGGGGUAAUGGCCUACCAAGGCGACGACGGGUAGCCGGCCUGAGAGGGUGACCGGCCACACUGGGACUGAGAUACGGCCCAGACUCCUACGGGAGGCAGCAGUGGGGAAUAUUGCACAAUGGGCGCAAGCCUGAUGCAGCGACGCCGCGUGAGGGAUGACGGCCUUCGGGUUGUAAACCUCUUUCAGUACCGACGAAGCGCGAGUGACGGUAGGUACAGAAGAAGGACCGGCCAACUACGUGCCAGCAGCCGCGGUAAUACGUAGGGUCCGAGCGUUGUCCGGAAUUACUGGGCGUAAAGAGCUCGUAGGUGGUUUGUCGCGUUGUUCGUGAAAACUCACAGCUUAACUGUGGGCGUGCGGGCGAUACGGGCAGACUGGAGUACUGCAGGGGAGACUGGAAUUCCUGGUGUAGCGGUGGAAUGCGCAGAUAUCAGGAGGAACACCGGUGGCGAAGGCGGGUCUCUGGGCAGUAACUGACGCUGA